This 342-nucleotide unclassified non-coding RNA is filed under the name Hevea brasiliensis (rubber tree). The record is from RNAcentral. Lineage: Eukaryota; Viridiplantae; Streptophyta; Magnoliopsida; Malpighiales; Euphorbiaceae.
UCAUGCUCUUUUCAUUGGCCAGUAUUUCAAAAUAUCUUAUCAUAUCCUUCAUAUCUCGUCUGUUUAUUUGACUCCUUAAGAAUGCCCCUUGAUUUUAACUUGUCUACCCAACUUUGCACUUCUUUUUCUUCUUAUACUACUACUAUUUCAUCCUCUUCAGCAUGCACUUGCCUUUGUUUCAUUACUCCAUCUCUAAUUUCUUCUUUACAUGCAGAACAUGAAAGCUCCCCCAAUAAUUUUGGACUUUGCUGCACUUCUUGCAUUUUCACCUCUAAUCUUUCCUUCAAUGAUUCAUUCUAUUUUGCAUAAUUAUAUUCCUCAAUUGAUGUCACUAUAAAAGUG